CCUACGGGUGGCAGCAGUAGGGAAUCUUUCACAAUGGGCGAAAGCCUGAUGGAGCAACGCCGCGUGCAGGAUGAAGGCCUACGGGCUGUAAACUGCUUUUAUAAGCGAGAAAUAUGAUGGUCACUUAUGAAUAAGGAUCGGCUAACUACGUGCCAGUAGCCGCGGUCAAACGUAGGAUCCGAGCAUUAUCCGGAGUGACUGGGUGUAAAGAGUUUCGUAGGUGGUAAAAUAAGUAUCUAGUGAAAUCUGGUGGCUCAACCAUUCAGACUAUUAGCGAGACUGUUAAGCUCGAAAACGUUGGGGGUAAGAGGAAUUUCUGGUGUAGGAGUGAAAUGCGUAGAUAUUAGAAGGAACACCGAUAGCGUAGGCAGGUUACGGGGACGGGUCUGACACUGAGGCACGAAAGCGUAGGGAGCAAACGGGAUUAGAUACCCUUGUAGUC
Molecule: ribosomal RNA, 442 nt
Filed under: uncultured bacterium
Lineage: Bacteria
Description: partial 16S ribosomal RNA
Rfam family: Bacterial small subunit ribosomal RNA
Source: RNAcentral